RNAcentral lists this long non-coding RNA (448 nucleotides) under Vigna radiata. RNAcentral's name for it is "long non-coding RNA (VRAD_LNC016609)". Lineage: Eukaryota; Viridiplantae; Streptophyta; Magnoliopsida; Fabales; Fabaceae. The record is from RNAcentral.
AAUGAGUAAUUCAAAAGCUUUACUCGAUCGUAAAGUCUUUCAAAAUAUAAAAGAGAAGGGAGAACAAUAAGAAAUAGAAAUCAAACUAAAUGAACUAAGCUAAGAAGCUACUAAGUGCUAGGGGCUGGCUCAUCGCUGUCCAAAGCCUGCUCCAGAGAGGUGUCAUCUGCUGCAUCUGCUCACAUCCAAAAAGGAUGAUCAUCGCAAAGGGAAGAACCAGGACAUACAAAACAAACAACAUACAAGUGCAAGGGUGAGCUAGUAUUCAAAACAUGCACAUGGUUAAUACAAUUAAUCAAGAAGAACAUACAAAUAAUAAUCAAUUCAGGCAUGAGAUAAAAACCUAUUUAACAUAGACUCGUCCGGACUAAGAAUGUAUAUAGAGCUGGGGCGGGUUGUGCACUUGUGGUGGCCUCUACUGCUUUGCAAAGCCAUUGCCGAGGGGUUU